AUGAAAGAAACGCAGAGCGAAGGGUCCUUGGCCCAAACACAGGAUGGCAUGACCCAGCCAGGCACUUGGCUUUCUGGAAGGACCCUGUGCCCUUGCCGCCUGGCAGGUUCGACCAUCUGGUGGCCAUCGAGCUCCCGGGAAGGGCUGUGCGUGGCAAUUACUACAAUGCGGGAGAUGAAGAUCCAGCCCUUGGUGGACCCUGUGGGUAAUCCUUUCAGAUCACAGAGGAUUCCUGGAAUCUCGUCGAGGUCCUACGCCUCUCAAGGACUCUGUAAAGUGAGGACAACAGGGCCCUGGACAGGACACCCUGGGAGCAAACACGAUGAACUGCAUGGAUGCCGAACAGCAGAGACAGAUGUAGACAAGACACAGAGGCCAGGGGCAGGUGGUAUUCCUUCAUUCAAUGGGCUGUCAUGGAUCUAGAAAACUGUUCGGAGAAAAAUCCUCAGGGUGCAAACCAAAGGCAUCCGGUCACUCACGCUCAUUCUGAGAUAGGGGAGCUCCCGCUGUGGCUCAGCAGAAACGAACCUGACUAGUAUCCAUGAGGAUGUGGGUUUGAUCCCUGGCCUCAUUCAGUGGUUUAAGGAUGCGGCGUUGCUGAGAUCUGCAGUGUACGUUGCUGAUGAGGUUUGGAUCCCGUGGUGCUGUGGCUAUAGUGUAGACCAGCAGGUCUCUGAUGCCCAAGGAGAGUCAGCUCCAGGCCAUUUUCUACCAUCACAUGACGAAUGCUCGCCUCUGGCGUAAUUCUUCCAUAUGUUUGUAGAAACAGAUACCAAAACAGUCAUACGCCCACGCGGCAGGCUCAGAAGGCCUGGCCUUCUGUUCUUGAGGCACUUGGACAGGCCCUUGGUGAAUGGUUUUCUUGAGGCAGCUGCAGCCACCUUCCAGAAGUGGGUUCAGCUGACUUCUAGUCUACAGAAUCCUCCAGAAAUACCUGGACACAGGACCAAAUGGUGUUCUGAGAGCAUCACUGCCAAGGGUACACGAUGCCAGGCUUGUUAGAUUUUUUUCAUCUUGUUUCUGCAAAGGUGGAGUUGCCUGGUAAUUAUUUUUAGCCAAUUCACCUUUUUUUUUUUUUUUUGAUAGGCAAGAAAUAGAUUUAUUAAGAUAGGACACCUGUGAGAGAUGCAAGCCAGCAGGCAUGGAAGCUCUGCCCCGAGGAUUAGGUGGGCUACAGUUUUAUGGGGUUUUUUGGUCUUUUUUGUCCUUUUAGAGCCACACCCUUGGCAUGUGGAGGUUCCCAGGCUAGGGGUCUAAUCGGAGCUAUAGCUGCUGGCCUACACCACAGCCACAGCAACACCAGAUCUGAGCCACAUCCGUGACCUACACCACAGCUCAUGGCAACGUUGGAUCCUCAACCCACUGAGCAAGGCCAGAAAUCGAACCCGCAACCUCAUGGUUCCUAGUCAGAUUCAUUUCCUCU
RNAcentral lists this long non-coding RNA (1423 nucleotides) under Sus scrofa (pig). RNAcentral describes it as "lncRNA (ENSSSCG00070003428.1)". The record is from RNAcentral. Lineage: Eukaryota; Metazoa; Chordata; Mammalia; Artiodactyla; Suidae.